RNAcentral lists this long non-coding RNA (3038 nucleotides) under Mytilus galloprovincialis (Mediterranean mussel). The record is from RNAcentral. Lineage: Eukaryota; Metazoa; Mollusca; Bivalvia; Mytilida; Mytilidae.
AUUAGAUUUACCUGACAGAUCACAGUUAUAUUGUUGUACGGCCAAUAAGUGGAAGGUAAGUUGUUGUAAUCUUCAUUCAAUGCUCGAACAUUAGGUAGCAAUAUACAGUUAGGAUAAAGAAAUUAAAAUUUACCCUCAUUGAUUUUAUCAUUCCUUUGUCCUUGCUUUGUUACAUAUUAAGCUUACUGUUUGUGUCAUUUAUGUCCAUAUGUAUGUACUCAGUAUCUUCAAUAAACUUGAUUUCUAGUAGUUGUAAUAGUUAAAUAUAUUUUUAGUUGCUGUAUCCAUGACAACACUCUGUAUUUAUUUGCUAUAUCGUAUUGCAAAAAAGGGUGUGAAGAUGUAACGUAUUUUCAAAAUAAUUGACUAAAAGUAAAAUUUCAUUUCCCUGGAGUUUACCUUUUCUAAAACUGUUUAUAUGUAGCUAUCAAAUAAAAUCAUAUGUCUUUCGUCUCAUUUGUUUUUUUUAUAAUAUUACGUCAAAAAGUUCGUUUGAAAAAAAAAGUAUUUGUAAACAUUACAAUCAUUUCUGGUGUGAAUAUGAAAAUAUGGACUGUGAAACAGAAAAUAGCACAUAAAAUAUGUAAAAAACAACCCAGAUGUUCAUAUAAGCCCACCUUGAAGACUAAAAUAGUCAUCAGCUGGCUGUCUACAAAUGAAUUUGAUUUCGCAAUAACUUACAUAUUUGAAAAUUCCACCGGGGCCAAAAUGCGUAACCACACUCCUCACUGUGUAUUGCUACCUUAAUCAAACUACAUUUUUGAAAGCGAAUGUUAACUCUGCUUAUAUAACGUUGUUACACAUGUCCCGUGUUUAGAUGUUUUGUGACGGUGAAUGUUUACUUUGCUUUUAAAACAUUGUUUUGAGUGAUUUAAAAUUCAGGCAUGUUCAGUCAUGCAAAGGCAAUCUAUUUAUGAUCUGACCAAGAAGAUAUUCUCAAAGCUCUCUCUCUUUGUCCGAGUAAUAUUGCAAUCGUCGUAGUCAAUAUUUACCUUCUUCGGUCUGAUAAUACCCUCUGAUCAUUUUUAAGCACAAGCAGAUAAUCUUUUUGAUGUCAUCUUUAAAGCUGCUUCUGAUAAUGCAACAACAAAACACACAUGGUUGCUAUUAGCAUAAAUAAAACGAAGUGUAAAAUACAAAUUUCGAUUAUUUUCUCGGUCUAUAUGAAGAUCAUGUAGGUCAACUACUUUCAAUGCAUCAUUCAAAUAGAGUGAUUGAUGAAACUACCUAUUUAAUCUGACAAAUUUGACUCUAUUUCAUAUUGUUUAUGAAUUUGGUGACGUCUUAUGGUUAGAAUAGAGUCAAUUACCAAUCGGAUACUGCGUGAUGCCUAGUCACUUAAUAUACUAAAAACGUGUAACAUAUUUUAUAUGAGUGAAACGACGGAUGUCAUAUGUGGAGCAUAUGAUGGAAGAAACUGACCUAUUAACAAGAUGUCAGAACAGUGUAACUAGCAUGGUGCUUGUUGUGGACAUCAAAUAUGUUUGGUUGUACCUGGUUUUGUACAUUGAUUGAUAUGAUAUAGACUUCAUAGUACUAUAAUAUCAAUGGAUCUUGUAUAUUGCUUGUGGUGAAAUAUUAAGCACAUAGGACCAAUCCCGAAUUACAAUAACCCAAUGAAUUAUUUUUUAAUUAUCUAAAACAAUGCAUGUUAUAAAACUGGGCAUUUGUUUUGUCUUUUAUAGUUCGAAGAUGAGGCUGCUGUUGGUUUUCAUGAUAUGCUUAACAUGUUUACAAGCUGAAGAUGCAAAACAAAAAAAAUCGACUACCACCGAUCAUAUAACCAGCGGUCUAAAUGCUGGCAAGGGCAUUGCUGCAGCCGUUGCAGUUUCGACUGCACUUCCUACUGCACUAACAGCAGUUGCAGCAAGUGUUGUACCUUUUCUAGGAGUAAUUGCUCCGUUUUUAUCCUUUAUUUUUGGAUUUAUUCAUAAAGGACCGUCGCCGGAAUUACUUGCUAUUCGGAAACUCCAUAAAGAUAUUGAUACUAGGUUCGAUCAAGUAGACGCUAAAUUUGCUGAUGUGAAAAGGCUGAUAAACUGGAGUACUGUAAAGGUACAGUUUUCUGAUAUUGAGCAAAAAAUUAACGCCGUUUACCGCAUAUAUAAAGAAAUGUACCAAGCACCAAGCAAUGCUCUUAACGGAGAGAAAAAGUUAUUUAUCAGCAAUUAUGAUAGUGAUUUCCAGAAUAGUGGCAUCAAACUGUACGACGGAGUAAUGAAUGCAGGAAACGUCUUCGGAGAAGGAUUGUUAGUUCCUUGUAUGAAAUAUACCCAGUAUGAUCGCAGACGAUGUGGAGCAUUCAGUUCAGGGAUACUUAAAUUGUUACUAAGGGCAGCUGAACUUGAAGUUGCAUAUUUGCAACUAAAAGGUCUAAGUGCAAACGUAGACUAUCACACAAAGCAAUGGAAAUCUCGUUUUGACCAUGUUCGAUCUGCAAUGAGUCAUGCUGAUGCAACAAUAGCUGCAAAAUAUCACGAUCAAUCAACCAUUGAUAUUGACAGAUAUGCACUAGAUCAUCCAGGGAAUAAAAUGAACAAUCAUGACUGGGCUAAUAACAUGUAUAACUUCCUUACCCAAAAAUACUAUUGGAGGGACUGGAUGGUCAUCUCUUACAAAGACGUUACUGGAGGUGAUGUCCAUUGGAAUAAAGCAUGUGGCGGUUAUUCUAAAUUUAGGAACCAUGGCCGGAACUUUGUAGUAGCGAGUGUUGAUAAGAAGACACGUCAUUUAGACAUGACUAAAGCUAAAGCUGUUGUUAAUGCGGUACAUGAUCAUACCACAAGUAAAGGCCACUGCCGACCACACUGCGGAACGAUUUACCACAGAAUAGAUUCUCAUUCAGCCUAUGAAACGUUCCCUACCGAGGCGAAAGAUCACUGCUCGCCCUAUGUGGCAAUUGGUGUAAUCGACAAUGGCGCGGCACCAACGUAUAAGGCACCAUCAAGCCGCCUCGUUCUAAGGAAUGAUAAAUAUAACCACAUUCACGUUUUUGGAUGAACGGGUGUUCUACAAUAAAGUUAUGCAAUUGACGUAUU